RNAcentral lists this ribosomal RNA (244 nucleotides) under uncultured Ochrobactrum sp. Its description in RNAcentral is "partial 16S ribosomal RNA". It matches the Rfam family "Bacterial small subunit ribosomal RNA", at positions 94 to 354 of the family's 1533-position model. Lineage: Bacteria; Pseudomonadati; Pseudomonadota; Alphaproteobacteria; Hyphomicrobiales; Brucellaceae. The record is from RNAcentral.
AGCGGCAGACGGGCGAGUAACGCGUGGGAACGUACCUUUUGCUACGGAAUAACUCAGGGAAACUUGUGCUAAUACCGUAUGUGCCCUUCGGGGAAAGAUUUAUCGGCAAAGGAUCGGCCCGCGUUGGAUUAGCUAGUUGGUGAGGUAAAGGCUCACCAAGGCGACGAUCCAUAGCUGGUCUGAGAGGAUGAUCAGCCACACUGGGACUGAGACACGGCCCAGACUCCUACGGGAGGCAGCAGGC